This is a long non-coding RNA of Pipra filicauda (Wire-tailed manakin), 4373 nucleotides long. RefSeq lists it as uncharacterized. NCBI's taxonomy places the organism in Eukaryota, Metazoa, Chordata, Aves, Passeriformes, Pipridae. The transcript is spliced from 3 exons. The record is from RefSeq and is a predicted model, not a curated record.
UUAAUUGAUUCAGGUGUUGCUCCUGGAUUCAGGCAUCAGUGGGAUUCUUCAGCUGCAAAAUAAAAAACAGAACCUGAUGGAACAGCUAGCUGAGAUCUCAAAAAUACAGAGUGUAGCAAGAAUUCAGUGAGAUGGAAUGGAUCCCGAACCGUGUCUAAGUUGAAUUUAACUCUUGGCUGUGGUGGAUUUUCAAAAUUUAAGAAACAGGAUCACGGAAUGAUUGAAAAGGACAUUAAAGACUGUCCAGUCCUAACCCUCCACCACCAUGGGCAGAGACACCUUCUGCUACACCAGGUUGUUUGAAGCCCCAUUUAACCUGGCCUUGAACACUGCCAGGAAUGGGGCAUCCACAACUUUUCUGGGCAACCUGUUCCAGUGCCUCACCACCCUCACAGAAACAAUUUCUUCCUUAUAUCUAAUCUAAACCUACUGUCUUUAAAGACAUUAACCCUUGUCCCAUCACGACAUGCCCUUGUAAAAAUUCCAGUUCUCCUGUAGGUCACCCUUUAGGUACUGAAAGGUGCUGUAAGGUCUCCACAGAGCUUUCUCUUCUCCAGGCUGAGCAACACCAACUGUCUCAACUUUUCCUCAUAGAAGAGGUGCUCCAUUCCUCCAAUCAUCUUCAUUGAGCUUCUCUGCACUCGCUCCAGCAGGUCCACAUGCUUCUUAUGGUGGGGAUCCCAGGGCUGUCUACAGUAGAUGUGAGAUCUCAUGAGAGCAGAAUAGACAUGGAGAAUCACCUUCCUUGACCUGCUGGCCAUUCUGCUUUUGAAGCAGCCCAGGAUACAGUUGGCCUUCUGGGCUGCAAGAGCACAAUACCAUGUCACAUUGAGCUUCUCAUCAGCCCACACCACCAAGUCCUUCUUGGCAGGACUGCUCUCAGUCCAUUCUUUACCCAGCCUGUAUUUGCGCUUCGGAUUUCCCCAAAUCAGAUGCUGGACCUUGCACUUGGCCUUGUUGAAAUUCAUUGGGUUCAUACAGGUCCACAACCCAAGCCUAUCAAGGUCCUUCUGGAUGGCAUCCCUUCCAUCCAGUGUAUCAAACUCACCACACAGCUCGGUGUCACCAGAAAACUUGCUGAGGGUGCACUCGAUCACACUGUCUGUGUUGCCAACAUAGAUGUUAAACAGCACCGGUCCCAAUCUUGACCUCUGAGAAAUUAUUUUUUAUUAAGUAUUUGAUGUAGUAUUAUCCAGUAGAAAUAAUUUCAUCCCCUAGUAUUACCUGAUUUUUCAGAGGGUUAGGGAACACACAGUUUCAAGUAAAAUAAGAGGAGCUAAAAGUUCUUCUGAAAAUCACUCAUGUCCACUACUACAUUCAGUCAGUUGUUGGAUUAUGAUAUGAUAUUUUCUUCCAAGGUUCAUACCUGUGUCAAAUUUUUAACAAAAAUUCAGUCCUGAUUCACCGGAAUGUUUAAGCAUACACUUAUUAUUGAAAUCUGUAGUCAAGGAAAACAUCCACAAGCUUGGUUUGAUACAAAUGCUUAAGUUUUUUUGUAAGAAAUUUUAACAAGUGCUUGAAAUGAUCAUCAUUUGCCUACUUAAAAUGAAGUAAAAAAAGAAUAAAUUACUUUCAUUUAAAUAAGAUAUUUCUAGACUGCCAAGAACAUAUCGAAAUACAAAACUGCUAAUUCUUACAAAGGACCAUUGAAACUUCUACCUAAAUCAAAUUCAAUAUUGGAGAUUUCAAAACAUUUUCAAUACUACUAAUUCUCAUCAGACAUUCAUUACUGAAUUCCUAUGUGCAACUUAAAAAUUUUGCUCUGAUCAUGAUCAAUCAGAAAUAGGGAUUUACAGUUAUUAUCAAAAGUGAGAACAUACUUAGAGUUACUUAAGACAUCAAAAAUUUUCUGAAUAAAGCAGUUAGAACACAUUAGAUGUAAGACUGCAAUUUUUUAAAGAAGACAGAAGUACUCACUCUGCUUCAUAAUAAGACAGUAAAAAAGAGUGAAGAACUCAGUAAUGUAAUGCUUGAAAUUGUAAGAUAUUGAGAUUUGUUAGAUAAAAGGUGGGGGGUGGAUGUUUCCUGAGAGUAAAAUAUUUUUAUUAAAUUUUAAAACUCCUGUGUUGUUUAAGACAGGACUGAAAAUAAACAAACAAAAAGAAGCAGAAGUUGCCAUAUUUAUUCUGGUUUAAGUUAUAAAGAGCUGUGAUGCUUUCUUUUCUAAAUUUCAAUAUUUUUUAAAAAUUACAAAUGAAAGAAAACUCAUGUUACCUGGAAAAAAAUAGUAUACAACUGCAAAUCUACUAACAUAAUAAUUCAAUUUUUUGGAAUUCCUAAGCAGUUUAAGGUUCAAAUCUGCAUGUCAACUAAAUUCAGGAAGAUAUGAUAAUCAAAAAAAAAAAAAAAAGAGGAGCUCGAUUGAUUUCCAUAUGGUUACACUUUGGCAUAGAUUUCUUGUUGGGUACACCACUGAAAAGGAUCUUAAUUGUUUAUUGAUUUAAUUUAGGAAGUCAAUUACCUGCUUUGAUAGAAUCAAAUUAUGGAGUUCAAGCAACAACUGGUCUAUCUAUUUUUUCAGUAAUAGUAUCUUAUAAACAUAAGAGAGUUUCUGACAAGGGUUAAUCCAUCAUGGGAAAAUUUUUCAGUCACAAAAGUUCUUGUUAAAUUGAAAGUUUAAAAAAAAAGCUAGUUUUUCAUCUGGGACUCUGCUUACUGUUAAAUAAUUUCACAAGAAAUUGGACUGAUUUGGUACCUCUUCUUAUGGAAAGAGCAGUUUAAUGUGGUUCUUUGAGCCAUCUCACUAAUUUUAAUACUAGAAAAAAGUGGAAUUUAGAUCUUAAGAAGUCACAUGAAUUGAAUUAAAAAUGAAAGAGUUAUAUGAAUCUCAGAAUAGACUCACUUUAAAUUUUAACUGAUUUUUUUGCCUGAAUUAUGAAAGUUUUUAGGUCUGCAUUAACUAAUAUGCUGUUUGCAGUACAGUCUGACUAAGUGAACUCUGUUGGUAGAUUGUGUAUUGGUUUAGGAGCUUGUUUUUAAAUAUUUUGCUAGGUGGACAAAUGAGACAAACAUCUCCAUAGAAUGUAUUUUUUCCUUAGGUAUAAAGAUAAGCAGAGCUCCAGCCAGGGCCAAGGGAAAGUGCUUGGCACCCAAGGCAUAGGACAAAGGUGCCCAACUCAGCUUCCUCACAGUGAUUUCUCUCAGCAGUAUGAUUCAUGGUGGCCCAGCUGCACCAUUAGCAAAGCUGGCCUUGAGCACAAGCAGCCAUAGCCCAGGUGGAUUAAGGUUGCAGUUUGAUAGUCUGCUCAGGGCCCUAAAAAUAACUUAAUGUUUCAAAUAUUUUUCUUCGCUCCCAUGACUUUCUUUGCUAAUGAUUCUAUUACUCAAAGAAAGAGGAAAAUACGUAUUUUGUUGAGAGACAUGCAGUGUGUGAAAUGCCUCACUGAUUGUUUCACUGAUGUCCUGUGUACACUGAGGUGCAAAUUAUUGGCAUUUCUCUUACAAAAAAAUCUGCAUUAGAGAAAAUUGUAUUUAUUUGGGUUUGAAAACUUGGAGAGAAAAUCAAUUUUGCUAGUUAUGAUUUGUCUGAAUGAGCUCACAUAAGCCAAAUAGUUAAGUAGCCAGAUAUAAUUUUAAUAAAGGAACCAUUCAAUUACUCCUUAAAUGCAGGCUGAAUUUCAUGAUGAGGAUUCUAAACCAGACUGAUUUCAAUCACCUUCAGCCGUUUGUGUCAGAAGAAUAACAAAGAACUAUGUUUCUUCAAUGAAUGAUAAAUCAAAGGAUCUGGUAGGCCUUUCAUUUAAUGUCCCAUCCAAUACUUGUUUCCAUUAGUCAACAAAGAAUAAGUGUUCCCUUUCAAUUUAUUAGCACUUAAAAAUCUAUUGCUUGUCCUGGUAAAGAGUGGCAACCUGUAAAGAGGGAAUACAUUGUUUUUAGUUGUUUUUAUUCCAACUUGGUUUUAUUUUGUGGGUGUUAAAUAAUCCAGAGAGCAUGUGAAAUAAGAACAGUAUUGUUUUUUCUGUUUAACUUUACUCCUUGUGAUAGCAUAAGUAUCGUUUCCAUCUAACUUCUGUUUUAAUGGCAAAGUUAGUUUACUUUGAAGUGUGUUGAAAAAGGGCAGUAAAAACAAAAAUACUGAACCUGUACAAGCCAAUUUAUAUUGUUUCACAUUGAAUAUGAAUUUGAAGUUAAAAGUUCUGAAAGAUGAGUAAAUCCUAUGUAUGUUUUUAUAUAUCUAUAUGCAUGUUCCUGGCAUGCCCAUAGGAGGGAGUUAUUUGUCUAAUUAUUUAACCCUAGAUAGGAAGAAUUAGAGUUUUUGUUCUCCCCCAGAGAUAAUUUUUAUGUAAAAUUUAAUGCUAGUUCUAGACUUAAUAUUGUCAGACUGUUGUAUUUUGAAAAAUUGGUUAUGAACUUUAAAUAAAUACAAGAGAAGA